GACGAACGCUGGCGGCGUGCCUAACACAUGCAAGUCGAGCGGGGUCCAUCCGGUAGCAAUACCGGGGAAGACCUAGCGGCGAACGGGUGAGUAACACGUGAGAAACCUGCCCCGAAGUCUGGGAUAACCCGAGGAAACUCGAGCUAAUACCGGAUGUCUUCUUCUGAUCGCAUGGUCGGAUGAAGAAAGAUUUAUCGCUUCGGGAGGGUCUCGCGGCCUAUCAGCUAGUUGGCGGGGUAACGGCCCACCAAGGCGUCGACGGGUAGCUGGUCUGAGAGGACGAUCAGCCACACUGGGACUGAGACACGGCCCAGACUCCUACGGGAGGCAGCAGUGGGGAAUAUUGCGCAAUGGGCGAAAGCCUGACGCAGCAACGCCGCGUGCGGGAUGAAGGCCUCGGUUGUAACGCUUCAGUGGGACGGAAGUUCAGACGGUACCC
This 439-nucleotide ribosomal RNA is filed under the name uncultured bacterium. RNAcentral's name for it is "bacterial SSU rRNA". It matches the Rfam family "Bacterial small subunit ribosomal RNA", at positions 28 to 480 of the family's 1533-position model. The record is from RNAcentral.